Molecule: long non-coding RNA, 1013 nt
Filed under: Homo sapiens (human)
Lineage: Eukaryota; Metazoa; Chordata; Mammalia; Primates; Hominidae
Description: non-protein coding SNHG5:44
Source: RNAcentral
CUUUUACGUCGGCCUUCGCGAGCGUCUGGGCGGGUGGUAGGUGAGUGGGUAUUGCGGGCUAGUAUCCGAGCAAAAGAUGGUGGCGCAGGCCGAGUUAAGAGCUUUAAUCCUGUGAAGACAUCUUAGUGAAGAGUUUAGAGUGCUGAGAGUUGAAAGCUUGCACGUGGGAAACGUGCGGCCGGACUGCCACAUGUACUGAGGUUGAGUCGUGACGGCCACAGGCUCCGAGUUUUGGCGUGAGGAACCGCUGAUCGGCCACGGGCGCCGAACUUGCUGGCCUCCGGCAUGUGCCUGAGCGGCGGCGGAAAAACCACCUUAAUUGGGGCGGAGGGUUAGUUUUAACAGCAAAGGGCCUUUACUAAAAUGGCGAAGGCCUUCCGUCGGCGUUGUUUUAAAAUGGGAAGCCUCGACCCUGUAUUGAAACUGAGCUGUUCGAAGGCGGCGUUGUGUGCAAUUCGGAUUAAUGAAGGGGAAGGGUUUUGUGUGGAAAAACGCCUUGGAGUGUGACAUUUCUGCGAGAAUGCUUAAAUACCGAUUUCCCGCAGGAACAAUGGCGCUGUCUUCAGUGGCACAGUGGAGCAGCUCUGAAGAUGCAAAGAUACACGAAAAAACUUCCAGAACAUCUGGGAGAAUAUUUAAUGGAAAAUCGCUUGGUUAAAACCUGACACUUUUAACAGGUAUGUGUUGUUUUAGUACUUUAUGAUUGAGCAUAGCAUUUAAUCCACACCUAGACUAAAUCAAAUUUUUUUUGUCAGUGAACAGCGUUCUGAGUGUGGACGAGUAGCCAGUGAAGAUAAUGAAUGUCGAAUGUGACUGACUAGCAGCUUCAUUUUGAAUGAGGGUCGCUGUCUGCCCAUUGAUAGAGGCCAGAUUGUCUUGGAAGUUCCAAAGUUGCAACGAUUUCUGGCUAGUGCCACGAGGUUUACUUGACUGUUGUGUGAAAAGCUGAUAAGAAAACCAUCCAGAAAAAAGCUCUUCGUUUUACAAACAUGAAAAUAAAACAUGUAAUUUUG